GGCUCCGUGGUCAAGCGGUUAAGACAUCGCCCUUUCACGGCGGUAUCACGAGUUCGAAUCUCGUCGGAGUCA
Molecule: transfer RNA, 72 nt
Filed under: Blautia liquoris
Lineage: Bacteria; Bacillati; Bacillota; Clostridia; Lachnospirales; Lachnospiraceae
Rfam family: tRNA
About the family: Transfer RNA (tRNA) molecules are approximately 80 nucleotides in length. Their secondary structure includes four short double-helical elements and three loops (D, anti-codon, and T loops).
Source: Rfam by way of RNAcentral